AUUCCUUCCCCGCAUCUGCUAGAGAGCAGGGCAAGGCCAAAGGGUCAGAGGCUCGAGGAAUGCGGGGUGGUGUCGGGGGGUAAAAGGACAUACCUGAGAAGGCCCCAGACCCUCGCUCCACCAGGAGGUAAGGAAACUGAAGCCUCAGGCGAAGAGAUGAUUUCAAAGAACUUCAGAGCUAAGAGUCUUCUUCGACUAAAGAACUUGAAGGGCCAGUUCCAGAGACCCUGUGACCUCAGGCUCCAGAGAUGGCUCCGUAAGGCAAACUCACCAUGACCACUGGUCAAUGACUCACUUCUCCUCCCAGGCGCCCUCCCAGGGAUGAGCGCUCCUUCACUCUGCCUCCCUCAGCCCUUGCUCCGGUCUCUCUGCAGCUGGGGUCAGUGUUCCCAGUGAAGUCAGCGUGUGGAGCACACAUGCCUCGUACCCACAUUCAUGCCCAUGUGUGCGUGUGCACACGCAUGUGGGGCCUGUGUGUCUCUUUCUCUGAGACCCACUCAAGAUCUGCAUGCACCUCGGGCCCCCUCCCAGAGUGCUGCAGCCAGAUGCACCUGGAGCCCCACCCGUCAGCCCAGGGAGACAUGCCCCUGCUGAAUUCAGAGAAUGAUCCAGAAGGAUUCAGGAAAUGAGGACCAUUCAUGAACCCAGCGACUGAUGAAGAGCACCUUCCUCACAUCCGCUGCCAAACUCACCCGAAAAGAAGAGACAGAGGAAGACCCCAGAGGAUUGCAAUUUGAGGACACCUCCAACUCAUGCUCACUGCACUUGGUCCAAAAUGAUCAGAGGGGAGAUUUGGCUCAUGCUCUGGCCUCACUGGCUCCCAUCACCAUUGCCUCUGCCCCUCCAGCCUCUGCCAGGCGCCUGGCUCUGACCCUUGCUGACACUUCAGGCCCCUCACCCUUAGAACUGACUGCCAAAGGGCUAGUUGCUUAGUCUUCAAGUAAAGGGGGUCUGGAGGACUAUGGAGGAGGCAUAGUGCCUAGAGAGCCCCUCGCCUCAAGACACCCCCACUGCACUUGGGAGGAAAGGCAGGGCUGGGGGAUGGAGGCACUGUGGGGGCCUUUCCUAUUUGGCAGCAGCUGCAGCCAUGCGCACCAUAGCCACAGCACGCAGCACACAUCUUCUGUCUCACAGUGAUUGAAGAUUUUGCCAAACCACCGGUCAGACAGAUUUCCCCCCAAGCCCCACAUUAAUUGAUUUUUGGAUUCUGCAACCCAAGCUCAAGCUCAAGCUCCGAGCUCACUGCUGAGCUCAGACUCCUGGGUGUCCCACAACGGCUUCGAUGUGGAGGCCAUGACGCUGAAGCCAAAGUUGUCAGACACCUGGGCUGCACUUGCCUGUGCAACGAGCCUGGGAAAGCAGCUCUGGGGAUUGCACCCACAGUGCCAGGGCUCGGGAGCCUCUGAGCUCAGGGAGGCCUUCAGGGACAGGCGCUCGGCCAGCUGCCUGGGUAGGCUACUAAUGAGCAGAUGUGUUCCAGGCUGUCUGCCCAAGGGGCAGCUGCACCUGGGCUGGAGAGCUGAGACUCUCUGGGGUUCUGCAGCCUCUGUCCUCCUCAGCCUGGCCCGACAGCCCCUCGUUCUGAUACAGGAGGGCACAGCUGCCUGACGCCCCUCCUUCCCCAUCUCUGCCUCUCUAAUCUUCCUUGAGGAAGAUUCCAUCAGAGGUUUUACUUACAUAUUCCUACACCAUGCCUGGAACAUAGUAGGUACUCAAUAAAUCCAACUUUUCCUGAGUUAGUGGUGAGGAAAAGCUGGACUCAGGAUCAGGCUGCCUGUGAAGCCUGGCCUGUAGCCUGCCAGCUCUCCCAGCCUCAGGGUCCUCACACCCACACGUGUGUGCAGUAACAGAGCACUUCUUGCCUGCAACAGUGCCUGGUUCCCAGUGUAUGCCACUGGGAUCCGUAUUAUUAUUAAGUGAUCCGUAUUAUUAUUUUAUCUUAAGAGAGGAAUCCAGCUGUGUCCAAAUGAGGGGUUGGGACAAAAUAAAAGCUAGAAUCCAGUCUUGCAGGUGGGGACAUGGCACCUGGGUCUCCACACUGACCCGUGCUGCCCACCCUCUCACAUGCUAUCUAGAGACGGCACUCCUUGUGGAAUGCUGCAGGAGGUGCUCCACUGGCACGAAGUGGGUGGGCUCUUAGCACAGACCCAAACAGUAAGUGACUUUUCACACUCCCAUCGCAUCUCCAAAGCUACAUGCAAAACACUGAUCUUCACAGGGGUUAGAACACAACUUCCAGAAGGCCUCUUUCUUUUUUUUUUUUUUCUCCCUUUUUUUUUUUUAUUAUUAUACUUUAAGUUCUGAGAUACAUGUGCAGAACAUGCAGGUUUGUUACAUAGGUAUACAAGAGCCAUGGUGGUUUGCUGCACCCAUCAACCCGUCAUCUACAUUACGUAUUUCUCCUAAUGCUAUCCCUCCCCUAACCCCCAACCCCCUGGCAGGCCCCAGUGUGUGAUGUUCCCCUCCCUGUGUUCAUGUGCUCUCACUGUUCAACUCCCACUUAUGAGGGAGAACAAGCAGUGUUUGGUUUUCUGUUCCUGUGUUAGUUUGCUGAGAAUGAUGGUUUCCAGCUUCAUCCAUGUCCCUGCAAAGGACAUGAAGUCAUCCUUUUUGAUGGCUGUAUAGUAUUCCAUGGUGUAUAUGUGCCAUGUUUUCUUUAUCCAGUCUAUCAUUGAUGGGCAUUUGGGUUGGUUCCAAGUCUUUGUUAUUGUGAACAGUGCUGCAAUAAACAUACGUGUGCAUGCGUCUUUAUAGUAGAAUAAUUGAUAAUCCUUUUGUUAUAUACCCAGUAAUGGCAUUGUUGGGUCAAAUGGUAUUUCUUGUUCUAGAUCCUUGAGGAAUCGCCACACUGUCUUUCACAAUGGUUGAACUGGUUUACACUCCCACCAACAGUGUAAAAGCAUGCCUAUUUUUCCACAUCCUCUCCAGCAUCUGUUGUUGCCUGACUUUUUAAUGAUCACCAUUCUAACUAGCAUGAGAUGGUAUCUCAUUAUGGUUUUGAUUUGCAUUUCUCUAAUGACCAUUUCUCUAAUGAUGAGCUUUUUUUCAUAUGUUUGUUGGCUGCAAAAAUGUCUUCUUUUGAGAAGUGUCCAUUCAUAUCUUUUGCCCAUUUUUUGAGUGGGGUUGCUUUUUUCUUAUAAACUUGUUAAAGUUCCUUAUAGAUUCUGGAUAUUAGCCCUUUGUCAGAUGGAUAGAUUGCAAAAAUUUUCUCCCAUUCUGUAGGUUGUCUGUUCACUCUGAUGAUAGUU
This 3248-nucleotide long non-coding RNA is filed under the name Homo sapiens (human). Its description in RNAcentral is "non-protein coding lnc-TMEM185B-10:5". The record is from RNAcentral. Lineage: Eukaryota; Metazoa; Chordata; Mammalia; Primates; Hominidae.